Molecule: ribosomal RNA, 2226 nt
Filed under: Salmonella enterica
Lineage: Bacteria; Pseudomonadati; Pseudomonadota; Gammaproteobacteria; Enterobacterales; Enterobacteriaceae
Description: partial 23S ribosomal RNA
Source: RNAcentral
AUAGGGGAGCCGGAGGGAAACCGAGUCUUAACCGGGCGUUAAGUUGCAGGGUAUAGACCCGAAACCCGGUGAUCUAGCCAUGGGCAGGUUGAAGGUUGGGUAACACUAACUGGAGGACCGAACCGACUAAUGUUGAAAAAUUAGCGGAUGACCUGUGGCUGGGGGUGAAAGGCCAAUCAAACCGGGAGAUAGCUGGUUCUCCCCGAAAGCUAUUUAGGUAGCGCCUCGUGAAUUCAUCUCCGGGGGUAGAGCACUGUUUCGGCUAGGGGGCCAUCCCGGCUUACCAACCCGAUGCAAACUGCGAAUACCGGAGAAUGUUAUCACGGGAGACACACGGCGGGUGCUAACGUCCGUCGUGAAGAGGGAAACAACCCAGACCGCCAGCUAAGGUCCCAAAGUCAUGGUUAAGUGGGAAACGAUGUGGGAAGGCCCAGACAGCCAGGAUGUUGGCUUAGAAGCAGCCAUCAUUUAAAGAAAGCGUAAUAGCUCACUGGUCGAGUCGGCCUGCGCGGAAGAUGUAACGGGGCUAAACCAUGCACCGAAGCUGCGGCAGCGAACGUAUCACCCAAGACAACUUUACGGAGUUGACGAUUGACGGAGCGAAGCGACGUCAAAGCGUUCAUUAAAGUCGAGUUGGCUUAGGGAUACGUUCGUUGGGUAGGGGAGCGUUCUGUAAGCCUGUGAAGGUGUGUCGUGAGGCAUGCUGGAGGUAUCAGAAGUGCGAAUGCUGACAUAAGUAACGAUAAAGCGGGUGAAAAGCCCGCUCGCCGGAAGACCAAGGGUUCCUGUCCAACGUUAAUCGGGGCAGGGUGAGUCGACCCCUAAGGCGAGGCCGAAAGGCGUAGUCGAUGGGAAACGGGUUAAUAUUCCCGUACUUGGUGUUACUGCGAAGGGGGGACGGAGAAGGCUAUGUUGGCCGGGCGACGGUUGUCCCGGUUUAAGCGUGUAGGUGUGUGUUCCAGGUAAAUCCGGUUCACUUUAACACUGAGGCGUGACGACGAGGCACUACGGUGCUGAAGCAACAAAUGCCCUGCUUCCAGGAAAAGCCUCUAAGCAUCAGGUAACAYSAAAUCGUACCCCAAACCGACACAGGUGGUCAGGUAGAGAAUACCAAGGCGCUUGAGAGAACUCGGGUGAAGGAACUAGGCAAAAUGGUGCCGUAACUUCGGGAGAAGGCACGCUGACACGUAGGUGAAGUGAUUUACUCAUGGAGCUGAAGUCAGUCGAAGAUACCAGCUGGCUGCAACUGUUUAUUAAAAACACAGCACUGUGCAAACACGAAAGUGGACGUAUACGGUGUGACGCCUGCCCGGUGCCGGAAGGUUAAUUGAUGGGGUCAGCGCAAGCGAAGCUCCUGAUCGAAGCCCCGGUAAACGGCGGCCGUAACUAUAACGGUCCUAAGGUAGCGAAAUUCCUUGUCGGGUAAGUUCCGACCUGCACGAAUGGCGUAAUGAUGGCCAGGCUGUCUCCACCCGAGACUCAGUGAAAUUGAACUCGCUGUGAAGAUGCAGUGUACCCGCGGCAAGACGGAAAGACCCCGUGAACCUUUACUAUAGCUUGACACUGAACAUUGAGCCUUGAUGUGUAGGAUAGGUGGGAGGCUUUGAAGUGUGGACGCCAGUCUGCAUGGAGCCGACCUUGAAAUACCACCCUUUAAUGUUUGAUGUUCUAACGUGGACCCGUWAYCCGGGUUGCGGACAGUGUCUGGUGGGUAGUUUGACUGGGGCGGUCUCCUCCUAAAGAGUAACGGAGGAGCACGAAGGUUGGCUAAUCCUGGUCGGACAUCAGGAGGUUAGUGCAAUGGCAUAAGCCAGCUUGACUGCGAGCGUGACGGCGCGAGCAGGUGCGAAAGCAGGUCAUAGUGAUCCGGUGGUUCUGAAUGGAAGGGCCAUCGCUCAACGGAUAAAAGGUACUCCGGGGAUAACAGGCUGAUACCGCCCAAGAGUUCAUAUCGACGGCGGUGUUUGGCACCUCGAUGUCGGCUCAUCACAUCCUGGGGCUGAAGUAGGUCCCAAGGGUAUGGCUGUUCGCCAUUUAAAGUGGUACGCGAGCUGGGUUUAGAACGUCGUGAGACAGUUCGGUCCCUAUCUGCCGUGGGCGCUGGUUCUCCCUGAGACUUAGAGUCUCCUGAAGGAACGUUGAAGACGACGACGUUGAUAGGCCGGGUGUGUAAGCGCAGCGAUGCGUUGAGCUAACCGGUACUAAUGAACCGUGAGGCUUAACCUU